Molecule: ribosomal RNA, 556 nt
Filed under: uncultured bacterium
Lineage: Bacteria
Description: bacterial SSU rRNA
Rfam family: Bacterial small subunit ribosomal RNA
Source: RNAcentral
AAUAGAUACCCUGGUAGUCCACGCCGUAAACGAUGGAUGCUAGCUAUUGGGGGGAAUCGACCCCCUCCGAAGCGAAGCUAACGCGUUAAGCAUCCCGCCUGAGUAGUACGAGCGCAAGCUUAAAACUCAAAGGAAUUGACGGGGACCCGCACAAGCGGUGGAGCGUGUGGUUUAAUUCGAUGGUAAACGAAGGACCUUACCAAGGUUUGACAUCCCGGUAGCCGUUCUCCGAAAGGAGAAUUUCAUUUAGUUGGACCGGUGACAGGUGAUGCAUGGCCGUCGUCAGCUCGUGUCGUGAGAUGUUGGGUUAAGUCCCGCAACGGGCGCAACCCUUAUGAUUUAGUUGGAUUUUUCUAAACAGACUGCCCUGGUAACAGGGAGGAAGGAGGGGAUGAUGUCAGGUCAGUAUUUCCCUUACACCUUGGGCGACACACGCGCUACAAUGGCCGGUACAAUGGGCAGCUAAGCCGCGAGGUGGAGCGAAUCCCAUUAAAGCCGGUCCCAGUUCGGAUUGCAGGCUGAAACCCGCUGCAUGAAGCCGGAAUCGCUAGUAACC